This 2591-nucleotide long non-coding RNA is filed under the name Gadus morhua (Atlantic cod). RNAcentral describes it as "lncRNA (ENSGMOG00000025221.1)". Lineage: Eukaryota; Metazoa; Chordata; Actinopteri; Gadiformes; Gadidae. The record is from RNAcentral.
CCCAGGAAGCGCAUCAAAGUGGAGGAGAAAGAAACAUCAGGCGGCAUCUGUCUCCACGUGGACAAAAACCAUGUCUCAGUGGAGUUCUGCACUAAGUGUGCAGAGAACGCAAGCGCAACGCUCAAAAUUUUUCUUCUAGGUAAUGGUUGAUCUACCAUGCGGGAUGAAUGGCUUUGAGAACACCUUUGCCUGCUUGACUCCAUGUGGAUUCUGCUGUUGGAAGUUGAAGAGCCGGGACAAGCUGCUGCCAUCGUGGCCUGGUUUAUUUUUUGAAAGCCCACGAACUUCUGAGAGGCGUUUCCUGAACACUCAAAGUGUUGAGCCAGCUUCCAAACCUCCAAGCUUCUUUGAGGGCGGCAUGAACCCUAGGCCUGUGCGCCAUCUACCAAAGCAACAAGCUGCCUUUGGUCAAUCGUGGGGCCUCCAAGGCACGUCAGUUCUGUUUGAUGUUGCAUUACGUCAAUGCGAAAUCAUAAACUUGGUUUGGUUCAGCCCAUCUUGGCUUUGAAGUCUUGUUGAUCCAGGAUGGGAUCUUUUCCCGCAGGACGUAGAGCCUGAUCUGAAGACAUCAGCAGAACGCCCCUCAUCUCAUGAGCAGACAUUAAUGGCAAUGAUGGAUAUGCAAGAACCAGAUUAAAAUGUAUUCAGCAAAGAUUUCAACAUAAUUAUGCUGUAAUUAUUAUUAUAAUAUUAUAAGUAAAAUAAAAAAUGUAUAUUUAUAAAUACUUACUAACACAUCUUCUUGAUCUUUUAUUAACCUAUCAUCUUAGAAUUAACAACAUUGAAGGAAGAGGCAGGCCGCCCAUCCCAUGUUGAUGGAAGUAUUCCUCCAGCCGCAAUCCCCUACUGUUGAUCCAAGAGCUGAGGGAAAUGUACUAACCUACCACCCAAUGGUUAAAAACAAACACCAUAAGGCAGUCCGCUGUGCUGUACCAACAGGGAACCUCAUUAGCCAACAACUUAAGUCUUGCACAACUCGCAGGUAAAUGGCUAGUUCUUACAUGAUUAUACAGCCAUAAGGUACAUAACAUAUCAAGUAUCAUUACACACACAAAUAAAAAUAGGUGAGUGUCGGUAUACAGCAUCUAUAUGCCAGUGACGUUACACCUGCCCUGAAUAAUUUGCUAUUCUCCUAACCUGAAGACCAAGAAUGGUGAUCGGUUCACUGAGAUGAAACAGAACAGACUUAUAAGCAGACUAGUGUAUUAUAAAAGUACCAAAUUAAUCUAUUUUUGAAGAAAGGUGGAGCUCUAGUUUACUUAACAGUUCAUUCAUCUUUUUACCAGUUUGUUUAGGUUAACUGUUGAUAUUGUUUAUGUCCAGAUGUAAAACAGCUAUGAUCUUAAGUCCAACUCACCUCCUCCCGCCGUGUUGACUGGUUCCAUUGACAUCCAUUAUAUUAGAAACCAAUACAAAAACAAAGUACGUCUAUGUGUGUGCAAACUUUCCUGGCUAGACGGCUUUCCCCAAAAGUGCCCACAAAUGGACAAAUCCCAAACGUUUAAUUCUGUGUUUACAUUCCACUGCACAUUCUCACAUACUCCACGGCUGAGGUGGCAGUUAGAUUCCUAUGUGAAUAUAGGCCUUCAGGCAGUUCUAUGUCAAUGUGUAGUAAGAGUACUAUGUUAUCACUGUUUGAAGAUAGCCACUGCCUUCAGGCAGUGUGAUAAUUCAGAGUGCAGAACAAUAUUUUAAAGUUGCCAGGGUAAGUCUAGGAGAGGUGUUUACUGAUUGAGUCAAAAAGAGAUCCCAAGGUAAAAAAGAAAGAAAGCUGCAGCUACUGCCAUGGUUCAGAAGUGUCACAUAAAUCACUGCUUGAACAGCCUACUAUGGGCAUGGUUGAACACAUUUACAAAGUGUGUCGGUAUAGAAAUAGUUUAUAGACAGUAUAGAAGACUUUUUCCGGUUUGUUAAAAGUCCAGGUUCAUUGUCUAAUGUCGCGUUCCGACUGAGGGACUUCUUGGAAAGCGUCUCAGUGUUAUGCCUACGCCCAAUCACUGAGGUCCCUUCGGCGUCCGUUCCAUACAGGAACCUUUGUAGCGGCUACCCAACGCUCAAAACAGACCUACGCGGUAACAGAGAAAGCGUCGCUGUGUUAAGGAAUUCACAUUAGCGAAAUGCAAUGCAACGUCUUAGACGAGAGCAAAUGUUAAGCCUGUUUUUCUGCAAUGUUAAAGUGAGCUUUCGUUUGACAUAUUUCACCACAAUUUCUACUCAAUGUUAUAUCUCAUGUCGAUGACCCGCCUCGACCGACUAGUCGACGCUGAUCCAAUCAGCAUCGACUAGUUAGGGGCGGCUCAGAAAGCUCCUUCCCCGAGGCAGGUACUACCUGGGCAACUAUCUGGGCCGCUGAACAGAGAAGUUGGGCAGAUCCUUUCUCCCAAGCCACCCCCAUAGCGGCUCACUAGAGGGAAAAGUCGAGAAAAAAAUAAAGUAGAGGAAGAGUCGGAACACGCCAUAUGUUGGAAUGUAAAUCAGCCAUGAUUUCUGUUCUCUUGUGGAACCAAAGUGUCACCAGAGAGACUCAUCACAGCGAUAUGGGAGCUAACCUAACCUGCCAUAUACCAGUUUGGCCCCAGGUUCACAGCAUG